GGCGCGGUGGCCUAAUAUGGUUAGCGCGUUUGGACUCCGGAUCGAGCGGUCCUGGUUCGAGCCCUGGCCUGGCUU
Molecule: transfer RNA, 75 nt
Filed under: Desmophyllum pertusum
Lineage: Eukaryota; Metazoa; Cnidaria; Anthozoa; Scleractinia; Caryophylliidae
Description: tRNA-Arg
Source: RNAcentral